GUGCUUGCUUUGGCAGCACAUAUACUAAAAUUGGAUGGAUACAGAGAAGUUAGCAUGGACCCUGCAUAAGGAUGACAUGCCAAUUUGUGAAGUGUUUCAUAUUUUU
Ictidomys tridecemlineatus (thirteen-lined ground squirrel) is the source of this 106-nucleotide small nuclear RNA. The record is from Ensembl. Lineage: Eukaryota; Metazoa; Chordata; Mammalia; Rodentia; Sciuridae.